AGUUUGUCACGAACCAUCCUAUAAAGUUUUGCAUAUGAAUUGUAUUCAUCAAACAUUUGUUUUAUGUCUUCAAGGAUUGAUGAGUUCAAUUCUGAAAUCUCUUUAUCCAUUCUAUAGGAAAAAAUAAAAUAAAAAACAAAUAAAAAUAUAUUUACAGUCAUAAAUUUUCAAAAAAUAGUAUAUUUAUUAUUAAAUAUUAUUUAGGUAUAAAUAAAUAAAAACAAAUGUACCCGACAACAAACAUUCGAUUUUCUAUUUCCCAUUUGAUGAUAA
RNAcentral lists this long non-coding RNA (273 nucleotides) under Lathyrus oleraceus (garden pea). Its description in RNAcentral is "Pisum sativum (pea) long non-coding RNA (PSAT_LNC004889)". The record is from RNAcentral. Lineage: Eukaryota; Viridiplantae; Streptophyta; Magnoliopsida; Fabales; Fabaceae.